GCCCAGGCAGGAGCCGGAGUCUGGGAACACUCAGGCCAGGUUGAAUCCUUCACUGCUUCCUUUUGACCUUCCAGAAGUUUUAGCUUUCAGGCUUGAGGAUAAAAGAAGUUCUAAAUGCAGCAUGUAAAGAGCACAAGACAACUGAUCAAAGUGUGUAACUGACAAAAGAAGGUGAAGAUGAGGAGAGCUUCAGGGCAAGAUUAAAAUGAAGUCCUGGGAUUCAUGGAAGCAGGCAAAAAAUAUAUACAAUUUGAUGAAGACUCUGAAAGUGGACGACACAGUAUGAAUAUACAUAAACCGUCAUGAAAGAAAAAGAAAGAAAAAGAGCCCAUGACAUUAGAAAGAAAAUGGGGAAUUCAGUCCAGCCACUGCAAGCAGCUGAGUUCUGCCUUAGCUACGUGAGCCUGGAAGAAGACCCAGGCUCCAGAAAGAAGCACAGCCUGGCUGACAUCUUGACUGCAGCCGUGUGAGAUCCUGACCUGCAGACCCACCUGAGCUGUGCUUGGACUCCUUACACGUGGAAACUGAGAGAGAAUAACACAUGCUGUUUUAAGCCAUUACAUUUGUGGUAAUUUGUUAUAAGACAAUAAAAAAAACUAAUAUAACAGAAGAGACAAUAAUGUCAGCUCUCAGGAUGUAAGAUUUUCCUGCUUUUAGGGCAACAUGAAACAAUACAUAAUUGUAGCUAAUUAAUUUUAACUACUACACGCAAGAUUCAAUGAUAAUACAAUAUAUAGAAAAUGUUAUCCCAUACCAAAAAAGGCCUAAAAUCUAGUACAAAAAAUGGAAAAAAAUACUUUACAUAGAGUAUUUCCAACUCUAUGUGAUGAUGUUGCAAAGAUUUUUGAUAGACUCUAAUUUAAAGAAAGAUUGACCAUGCUUUAGUUUGCACAGAGUCAAUAGCACCUUUUAAUAAAAAGGUAGAUCUGUGACUAUUUGCUCCAGACAUAAAGAAUUGUUUGUAACUUUUACACCUUUGUGAUGAAGGGAAAGUCAAGACUUUUAGUAACAGCUAAUAAAGAACAACUGGGGUUUCCAUCAGCAGGAAUGCAGAAAGAACAGGCUGGCUGAGCUUUCUGGAUAUGGACAAGAAGGCACAGAGCUCUCUGAAAUGGAAAGUCCUGCUUUGGAGAUAAUCAAGUGAAUAGUUCACUGGUCUGCCCUUUCUAGAUAGGGAAACUCCCUGCUGAGGGCUCAUGUCUCUUCCUCACCUGAGAGCCAGGUACAAACUAUCAAUUAGUCCUUUUGAAACACCAUGAGAUUCUUUUGAGACCAGUUAAAAUACUGAACACUUAGAAGCAUGUGAUUUGUUGCUGAAGAAUAAAUCCUUCACCCUUGCCUUCCUGGAUGGCCUGCAGUCUUCGUUGAUCAAUUCUUCACUCUUUCACAUUUUUAUUUAAAGCACCAUUCCUGCUACCAUAAUGAGUGUGGGUUUUGUGGUUGAACUUGACCUUGUAUGAAUGAAAAGAAAUGGUUUCUGGCCUUGGCCCAUUGUGGGGAAACAACAUAAAAGCACACCACACACAGGACAGGCUCAACGUAGCUCAAAUAAAUGCUCAUUACGUAUGUGACUUAUGAAUUGUAUGGAGCAAAGCCCAAACUCACUUGUCAUAUCUCAUAAAAGUGGAAUAUUGACUUGAAUCAAGGUAUCAUCAAGGUGGCAUGCUUAUUUUUCAUGAUAUUGGUGAGUUCUGCAUUUGUGAAAAAAAAGACUAAAAUAUUCCUGCACAUUUGCAAUGCUAAUUUUAGUGAGUAGGAUAAUGCUAAAAGUGUUCUUUUUUUUAUUAUUAUACUUUAAGUUCUAGGGUACAUGUGCACUACGUUCAGGUUUGUUACACAUGUAUACAUGCGCCAUGUUGGUGUGCUGCACCCAUUAACUCGUCAUUUACAAUAGGUAUAUCUCCUAAUGCUAUCCCUCCCCCCUCCCCCCACCUCAUGACAGGCCCCAGUGUGUGAUGUUCCCCUUCCUGUGUCCAUGUGUUCUCAUUGAUCAAUUCCCACCCAUGAGUGAGAACAUCUGGCGUUUGGUUUUUUGUCCUUGCGAUAGUUUGCUCAGAAUGAUGGUUUCCAGCUUUAUCCAUGUCCCUACAAAGGACAUGAACUCAUCACUUUUUAUGGCUGCAUAGUAUUCCAUGGUGUAUAUGUGCCACAUUUUCUUAAUCCAGUCUAUCAUUGAGGGACAUUAGGGUUGGUUCCAAGUCUUUGCUAUUGUGAAUAGUGCUGCAAUAAACAUACGUGUGUGUGUGUCUCUAUAGCAGCAUGAUUUAUAAUCCUUUGGGUAUAUACCCAGUAAUGGGAUGGCUGGGUCAAAUGGUAUUUCUAGUUCUAGAUCCCUAAGGAAUUGACACACUGUCUUCCAAAAUGGUUGAAAAAUGUUCUUUUAAUAAAGGCAUUCUGAGAAGCCUAAAUAUUGUAGGACAAGGCAAGAGAAUUUCAACUGCUUCUGAAAAUGUUUAAUAGCUGUCUUAACUUCUAUACUGAAUAAUUACCAGAACAGAAAGGACCAAAAGCCUGGUAUACACCUGUAAUCCUGGCACUUUGGAAAGCUGAGG
RNAcentral lists this long non-coding RNA (2552 nucleotides) under Homo sapiens (human). Its description in RNAcentral is "HSALNT0346712". The record is from RNAcentral. Lineage: Eukaryota; Metazoa; Chordata; Mammalia; Primates; Hominidae.